This 1556-nucleotide ribosomal RNA is filed under the name Salmonella enterica subsp. enterica serovar Agona. Its description in RNAcentral is "bacterial SSU rRNA". It matches the Rfam family "Bacterial small subunit ribosomal RNA". RNAcentral also lists the same sequence under 1 other name. Lineage: Bacteria; Pseudomonadati; Pseudomonadota; Gammaproteobacteria; Enterobacterales; Enterobacteriaceae. The record is from RNAcentral.
UUAAAUUGAAGAGUUUGAUCAUGGCUCAGAUUGAACGCUGGCGGCAGGCCUAACACAUGCAAGUCGAACGGUAACAGGAAGCAGCUUGCUGCUUCGCUGACGAGUGGCGGACGGGUGAGUAAUGUCUGGGAAACUGCCUGAUGGAGGGGGAUAACUACUGGAAACGGUGGCUAAUACCGCAUAACGUCGCAAGACCAAAGAGGGGGACCUUCGGGCCUCUUGCCAUCAGAUGUGCCCAGAUGGGAUUAGCUUGUUGGUGAGGUAACGGCUCACCAAGGCGACGAUCCCUAGCUGGUCUGAGAGGAUGACCAGCCACACUGGAACUGAGACACGGUCCAGACUCCUACGGGAGGCAGCAGUGGGGAAUAUUGCACAAUGGGCGCAAGCCUGAUGCAGCCAUGCCGCGUGUAUGAAGAAGGCCUUCGGGUUGUAAAGUACUUUCAGCGGGGAGGAAGGUGUUGUGGUUAAUAACCGCAGCAAUUGACGUUACCCGCAGAAGAAGCACCGGCUAACUCCGUGCCAGCAGCCGCGGUAAUACGGAGGGUGCAAGCGUUAAUCGGAAUUACUGGGCGUAAAGCGCACGCAGGCGGUCUGUCAAGUCGGAUGUGAAAUCCCCGGGCUCAACCUGGGAACUGCAUUCGAAACUGGCAGGCUUGAGUCUUGUAGAGGGGGGUAGAAUUCCAGGUGUAGCGGUGAAAUGCGUAGAGAUCUGGAGGAAUACCGGUGGCGAAGGCGGCCCCCUGGACAAAGACUGACGCUCAGGUGCGAAAGCGUGGGGAGCAAACAGGAUUAGAUACCCUGGUAGUCCACGCCGUAAACGAUGUCUACUUGGAGGUUGUGCCCUUGAGGCGUGGCUUCCGGAGCUAACGCGUUAAGUAGACCGCCUGGGGAGUACGGCCGCAAGGUUAAAACUCAAAUGAAUUGACGGGGGCCCGCACAAGCGGUGGAGCAUGUGGUUUAAUUCGAUGCAACGCGAAGAACCUUACCUGGUCUUGACAUCCACGGAAGUUUUCAGAGAUGAGAAUGUGCCUUCGGGAACCGUGAGACAGGUGCUGCAUGGCUGUCGUCAGCUCGUGUUGUGAAAUGUUGGGUUAAGUCCCGCAACGAGCGCAACCCUUAUCCUUUGUUGCCAGCGAUUCGGUCGGGAACUCAAAGGAGACUGCCAGUGAUAAACUGGAGGAAGGUGGGGAUGACGUCAAGUCAUCAUGGCCCUUACGACCAGGGCUACACACGUGCUACAAUGGCGCAUACAAAGAGAAGCGACCUCGCGAGAGCAAGCGGACCUCAUAAAGUGCGUCGUAGUCCGGAUUGGAGUCUGCAACUCGACUCCAUGAAGUCGGAAUCGCUAGUAAUCGUGGAUCAGAAUGCCACGGUGAAUACGUUCCCGGGCCUUGUACACACCGCCCGUCACACCAUGGGAGUGGGUUGCAAAAGAAGUAGGUAGCUUAACCUUCGGGAGGGCGCUUACCACUUUGUGAUUCAUGACUGGGGUGAAGUCGUAACAAGGUAACCGUAGGGGAACCUGCGGUUGGAUCACCUCCUUACCUUAAAGAAGC